UACGUAGGGUGCAAGCGUUGUCCGGAAUUAUUGGGCGUAAAGAGCUUGUAGGCGGUUUGUCGCGUCUGCUGUGAAAUUUCGGGGCUCAACCCCGAACUUGCAGUGGGUACGGGCAGACUAGAGUGUGGUAGGGGAGACUGGAAUUCCUGGUGUAGCGGUGAAAUGCGCAGAUAUCAGGAGGAACACCGGUGGCGAAGGCGGUUCUCUGGGCCUUACCUGACGCUGAGGAGCGAAAGCGUGGGGAGCGAACAGG
Molecule: ribosomal RNA, 253 nt
Filed under: uncultured bacterium
Lineage: Bacteria
Description: partial 16S ribosomal RNA
Rfam family: Bacterial small subunit ribosomal RNA
Source: RNAcentral